CGCCUUGCCAGCCCGCUCAGAAACUCCAAGGAAGUUGACGGGGGCCCGCACAAGCGGUGGAGCAUGUGGUUUAAUUCGAUGAUACGCGAGGAACCUUACCUGGGCUCAAAUGUAUGUUGACGUAUUCUGAAAGGGAUACUUCUUCGGACAAUAUACAAGGUGCUGCAUGGUUGUCGUCAGCUCGUGCCGUGAGGUGUCGGGUUAAGUCCCAUAACGAGCGCAACCCCUACCUUUAGUUGCCAUCAGGUUAAGCUGGGGACUCUAAAGGAACUGCCUACGCAAGUAGUGAGGAAGGCGGGGAUGACGUCAAAUCAGCACGGCCCUUACGUCCAGGGCUACACACGUGCUACAAUGGCCGAUACAGAGGGCAGCUACCUGGUGACAGGAUGCAAAUCUCCAAAGUCGGUCUCAGUUCGGAUCGGAGUCUGCAACCCGACUCCGUGAAGUUGGAUUCGCUAGUAAUCGCGCAUCAGCCAUGGCGCGGUGAAUACGUUCCCGGGCCUU
This 504-nucleotide ribosomal RNA is filed under the name uncultured Sphingobacteriales bacterium. Its description in RNAcentral is "bacterial SSU rRNA". It matches the Rfam family "Bacterial small subunit ribosomal RNA", at positions 903 to 1382 of the family's 1533-position model. The record is from RNAcentral. Lineage: Bacteria; Pseudomonadati; Bacteroidota; Sphingobacteriia; Sphingobacteriales.